Molecule: non-coding RNA, 1296 nt
Organism: Salvia hispanica
Lineage: Eukaryota; Viridiplantae; Streptophyta; Magnoliopsida; Lamiales; Lamiaceae
Source: RefSeq, a predicted model, not a curated record
CAAACAGGGCCAAAACCUCCUUCUCCAAUCAUGCUUUCCUCGGAGAAGUUGUCUGUUGCAGCAGCUAUUGUCGCGAAACUGAAUAGAGAGGGGGAAAUAGAAGUUAUGAAUCGGGAUAUGUAGAGGCUAAGGCGAAUUCUUGAAUUGCUGGGAAAAAAUGGAGUUACCUAGUUCAGAAACCGGCAGGCGAAUGUAGAUAUUCUGUUAUAAGGAUCGAUAUACGUUGUUCUGCCCUUGUCUGUGACAAUCUUGCCCUUGAAAACGGUGUUGUAGAAGGUCGGGACGUUGAUGUAAACCCCGUUCCACAUGCCGCUCCGGUGAAAUCUCCCGGUGAAGGAUCGUCGGAGCUCGUCCACGAAGUCAAAUACUUAUCCUCCCCCGCUGGGCUGUGCACCAUGAACAUCCCCGGCAAUCUUGUGUCCCUCGGGUAAUCAAAACUCUGCCAUAUGUAGUUUUCCUCCGUUAUGUCUACUGCAAGAACGAGGUUUCCGGUGUCCAGGAGCUGUAAGAUCGGAUUUGAUGCAGCCACUCUUGACGAAUUCGUCGACCAAAGUAUGCUUUCAUCUCUGCUUGUGACUAAUGCACCAUAUCUUCCUAUUCGUAACACCACUCCUUGUGAAUCUACGAUGGGAUAGCUCCAGUUUGCAACCCAAACAACGACGUCCGGUUUCCUCUUGUACCAAAUCCCCACGAACCUGUUCUUGGACGAGCCGGGGGAGAAGAAGCCGAGCUCGAAAUCGUGGUUCUGUGAGAUAAGGUCCCGUUGGCUGGAAGUGCAUCUUGUCCAGCAGAGAAGCAAACUAGUCCACAAAAGGCAAUGGCUAAGAGGAAGUUAGACAUAGUGGCACCUUUGAUUUCCUGAUGCGAGUCCUAACAUAUAACGGCAAAAAUCUGGGAUUAGGUAGAAAAACACUAAAGAUGGAACUUUCGAAAUGUCUUCGUCCGAAAAAAAGUAAUGGUGCGUAAAGAGUGAACACAUCAGAGUUUUGUAACACCACGGAUGCAUCGUGUCCCUACGAAAAUAAAUAUCAAUUAUAAAAUUUGGGAAUCCAAAGAAAUGGACGUUAUCUGGCAAUGGCAUCGACUCUAAGAAAAGUCAAAAUAAGUUUAUAGAUCAUUAUUUUUUAACAUUAGGAUACAUUUUUAUUCCUUCUAUUCCACAAAAUUACUUCUUUAUUAUUUUCGGAUAUGUAGCCUGCUUUCUUUUUAGCUGAGAUUACCUCGUGAGAUAAGUUGUGGAGGAAAAUAGCACAAUCAUGUACUAGUACUACAUUUUUAUGAAGGCCAUGAGACUUU